AUGAGAGUCGAUAACACCCGAAGCCUGUGAGCUAACCUUAGGGAGGCAGCAGUCGAAGGUGGGGUUGAUGAUUAGGGUGAAGUCGUAACAAGGUAUC
This 97-nucleotide ribosomal RNA is filed under the name uncultured bacterium. RNAcentral's name for it is "partial 16S ribosomal RNA". It matches the Rfam family "Bacterial small subunit ribosomal RNA", at positions 1404 to 1500 of the family's 1533-position model. The record is from RNAcentral.